GAUGAACGCUGGCGGCGUGCCUAAUACAUGCAAGUCGAGCGAACAGACGAGGAGCUUGCUCCUCUGACGUUAGCGGCGGACGGGUGAGUAACACGUGGAAACCUACCUAUAAGACUGGGAUAACUUCGGGAAACCGGAGCUAAUACCGGAUAAUAUUUUGAACCGCAUGGUUUAAUAGUGAAAGACGGUUUUGCUGUCACUUAUUGAUGGAUCCGCGCCGCAUUAGCUAGUUGGUAAGGUGACGGCUUACCAAGGCAACGAUGCGUAGCCGACCUGAGAGGGUGAUCGGCCACACUGGAACUGAGACACGGUCCAGACUCCUACGGGAGGCAGCAGUAGGGAAUCUUCCGCAAUGGGCGAAAGCCUGACGGAGCAACGCCGCGUGAGUGAUGAAGGUCUUCGGAUCGUAAAACUCUGUUAUUAGGGAAGAACAAAUGUGUAAGUAACUAUGCACGUCUUGACGGUACCUAAUCAGAAAGCCACGGCUAACUACGUG
This 496-nucleotide ribosomal RNA is filed under the name uncultured bacterium. RNAcentral's name for it is "partial 16S ribosomal RNA". It matches the Rfam family "Bacterial small subunit ribosomal RNA", at positions 28 to 507 of the family's 1533-position model. The record is from RNAcentral.